This is a long non-coding RNA of Cucurbita moschata (crookneck pumpkin), 2136 nucleotides long. RefSeq lists it as uncharacterized. The record is from RefSeq and is a predicted model, not a curated record. The transcript has 2 exons. NCBI's taxonomy places the organism in Eukaryota, Viridiplantae, Streptophyta, Magnoliopsida, Cucurbitales, Cucurbitaceae.
AUCUACUAGCGGUGGGCUAGGAUUGAACUUCUGCUCUUCUUUAUAUUUAUUAGUUUAUUAAUCCUCAGCUUCAUUGAAUUCUUACAUCUACUCAUUGGUUAGCAGUCAAUAUUUUACUCAUAUAACCAUCACAAAUCCCAUGGUUCUUAAUCCUAUGAUGUGAGACGAGGUAUAUGCACUCAAUGGGAGAGAAAAGUAUUCUGUGUUUUCUAUAUUUUAUUGAUGUGUAGUGUACAGUAUUUAUACGCACUUGAUACCCACAAAUUAGGUUUUGAAGAGGAGAAUUUGGGUGGAGGCCCAAAUUCACAUGGUUGACCUCACCUCAUGUCUAGUUUCACGAUCGUCACGAUUGUGCAACACUUGUUCUAAUCUAGCAAAUAAGUCAAAUUACUUUAUCGCCUAAAAUUAUGGAGAAUAAAGAAAAGUCUAUUGGGCCAAGGUCAGCCCAAUAGGUGUGGGCUGUCUUUGGGCUUUUCAAUAAAAGGUGGGGCUGAACCAUGGAGAAUAAAGAAUAGUCUAUUGGGCCAAAGUUAGCCCAAUAGGUAUGGGCUGACUUGGGCCUUUUUCAGAAAAAAGGUGUGGCUGAAACAUGGAGAACAAGGAAUAGUCUGUUGGGCCGAAGUCAGCCCAAUUGGUGUGGGCUGACUUGGGCCUUUUCAGAAAAAGGUGUGGCUGAAACAUGGAGAAUAAAGAAUACUCUAUUGGGCCGAAGUCAGCCCAAUAGGUGUGGGCUGACUUGGGCCUUCAGAAAGAGGUGUGGCUGAAACAUGGAGAAUAAAGAAUACUCUAUUGGGCCGAAGUCAGCCCAAUAGGUAUGGGCUGACUUGGGCCUUUCAGAAAGAGGUGGCUGAAACAUGGAGAAUAAAGAAUACUCUAUUGGGCUGAAGUCAGCCCAAUAGGUGUGGGCUGACUUGGGCCUUUCAGAAAAAGGUGUGGCUGAAACAUAGAGAAUAAAGAAUACUCUACUGGGCCGAACUCAGGGCACUAAGAAGGGGCAAUUUCGUCUUUGAAUGAAUGAGGCGUGAAUUGGGACGAUAAGCCCUAGCCUCACUCUGCCUAUAAGUAGACUGCGACCAGAACGAGAAACUCACCUUCCGCGCUUUCUGUACUUAAAACUUCGCCGCCCCUGUUUGUUCUUCAUAUUUCUGAUUUUUGAUGGCUUAGGGUUUUCUUCUCUCGAUUGAAUUUUUCUUCAUACUUUGUAGUUGAUUAGCAAUGUGGAGGUUUUUGUUUCUCUGUGAUGAUGAACAAUGAUGACGAGUCCGAUUCUAAUCCAUUCACCCGUGACGACAAAACGAGGCAUUUGUCUGAGAGAAAUCAAACCUCCAUUCUUUUCUUUUAUCAAAUGGCUCACAUUUUUUAUCUCUCUUUACGAUUAUGAGGCUUUAUUGAAGCUUUUGUUGAUGAUUUUCCUUUUAUUUGAUUGAAACUGAGGUUGUUAGAUUAAAGCACAAGUGCGGCGAUGAUGAGAAUACAGACUCUGGUUUAAUUGAAACUGAGAUUGUUUCUGUGAGUAUUUCUCAAGCACUUUUGAGCCGUUUGUGGGAAUACUUGGAUGAAUCUAUUUCCUGAGUGUUUCUUUCAAACGCAAUAAACCAGCCCACGACAUUCUUGUCUGUCUCCAAUAAAAAAAUUUCUAUGCAUUUUAUCAGAUGAGCAAUCAAAAUCCUUCUGUUUGGAGUUAUUUUUCGUACGAAGUUAUUUUAAAUCAAAAGUGGAGUAGUGGAGUUUGAAUAUUUAACCAUCUAGUCAUGUGCAGGUUCGUUCUUUGUCAAGUUUCAAGUACCUUGAUUUGGUGAUGUUACUUGGAUAAAGAUCGUGUACGCAGUUCUUCUGCCUGUUCCCAACUGCUGGACCUUUAUUUGUUAAUAAAGCUUGUUGUGGCUAUGCCCAUCCAACUCUCAAUGUGUAUGUAUAAUAAGUAUAGUAUUGGUUAUGAGAGGAAUUCAAUUUAACCCUAUAAUUUAUUCCUUCAUCUAUUUCUUUCUUAGUACUAUUCCAUGUCAACUUGUUUUUUCUUCUCUUUUCAAAUUCAUUAUACAAACAUGUUAGGAACCCUCGUCUUUUCAACGUCUGACAAACCUUCGUGUUAACGGUAUCCAGACUAAAUUGUAAUAUAUAACGUGCUUCCCAAGA